CCUACGGGAGGCAGCAGUGAGGAAUAUUGGUCAAUGGGCUUACGCCUGAACCAGCCAAGUCGCGUGAGGGAAGACUGCUCUAUGGGUUGUAAACUUCUUUUGUCAGGGACGAAGCAAGUGACGGUACCUGGCGCAUAAGCCACGGCUAACUACGUGCCAGCAGCCGCGGUAAUACGUAGGUGGCAUGCGUUAUCCGGAUUUAUUGGGUGUAAAGGGCGUGUAGGCGGGAAUGCAAGUCAGAUGUGAAAACUAUGGGCUCAACCCAUAGCCUGCAUUUGAAACUGUAUUUCUUGAGUGCUGGAGAGGCAAUCGGAAUGCCGUGUGUAGCGGUGAAAUGCGUAGAUAUACGGCGGAACACCAGUGGCGAAGGCGGAUUGCUGGACAGUAACUGACGCUGAGGCGCGAAAGCGUGGGGAGCAAACAGGAUUAGAUACCCUUGUAGUC
Molecule: ribosomal RNA, 444 nt
Filed under: uncultured bacterium
Lineage: Bacteria
Description: partial 16S ribosomal RNA
Rfam family: Bacterial small subunit ribosomal RNA
Source: RNAcentral